GAUGAACGCUGGCGGCGUGCUUAACACAUGCAAGUCGAACGGAAAGGCCCUGCUUUUGUGGGGUGCUCGAGUGGCGAACGGGUGAGUAACACGUGAGUAACCUGCCCUUGACUUUGGGAUAACUUCAGGAAACUGGGGCUAAUACCGGAUAGGAGCUCCUGCUGCAUGGUGGGGGUUGGAAAGUUUCGGCGGUUGGGGAUGGACUCGCGGCUUAUCAGCUUGUUGGUGGGGUAGUGGCUUACCAAGGCUUUGACGGGUAGCCGGCCUGAGAGGGUGACCGGCCACAUUGGGACUGAGAUACGGCCCAGACUCCUACGGGAGGCAGCAGUGGGGAAUAUUGCACAAUGGGCGGAAGCCUGAUGCAGCAACGCCGCGUGCGGGAUGACGGCCCUCGGGUUGUAAACCGCUUUCGCCUGUGACGAAGCGUGAGUGACGGUAAUGGGUAAAGAAGCACCGGCUAACUACGUG
This 468-nucleotide ribosomal RNA is filed under the name uncultured bacterium. RNAcentral describes it as "partial 16S ribosomal RNA". It matches the Rfam family "Bacterial small subunit ribosomal RNA", at positions 28 to 507 of the family's 1533-position model. The record is from RNAcentral.